Molecule: long non-coding RNA, 1323 nt
Organism: Canis lupus familiaris (dog)
Lineage: Eukaryota; Metazoa; Chordata; Mammalia; Carnivora; Canidae
Exons: 3
Source: RefSeq, a predicted model, not a curated record
GAUCUCCUUGGGCAUUCUAGACUCCGUCAACUGCAAAGAAAGAAGAAAUAUUUUAUUCAGGGAAGUUCAAUGGUAACAUGAGAGAGAAGAAUAACCAACAACUAGAAAAGACACUGUGAGAGCAAAAUGGACUUAAUCAAAGGUACUACAGCAUACAUGAGAGCCUUUUGCAAUUUUAGGACAAAUGAAAUUUAGAAAAGAGGCACCCGCAGACUGCAUCAGAGGCUUUCCCAAAACUGAAGUCCAGGAAUGAAGUUCAUUCCAAGUACUACCUAAAUCUCUCUUCUCCCCACCAUGAAAUCUUGCACAGUUGAUUCGAAGAUGCAUGUCAGGUGGUAUUCUUUCCCUGGUGAUGCAAUUCAUAGACUGCCUGUUCUCUCCCCCCACCCCACAAUAAAUGUAACCACAGGAUUUGGUGCCAUGUAAUGCCUAUAGUGCUCCCUUCCCUCAUGCAUAAAUUUUUCCUUGCUGAAUUCAAAUGGAUCAAUAAUCAAUCAGUUACAAAGUCAGAACUUUCAUUAUGCUACACAUGACAUUCUACAAAUGAAAACAAUAGCAAUAAACUUUUUUUUUUCUGCUCAAACCUGGAAAUUGUUCAUCAGCCCAUAUUGACAAGGUUCAUGUCGACAUCUUGAGAAGUCGUAGCCCAACCCACAGGCUGCUGAACCAUUGCAGUUCAUCCCAGAAAUGAUGGUGUCAUUCAUGCUUCCGGUAGCAUCUCGGACCACACAGGCCCCUGGGGAAACAAUCAUGGCUCAUCAAUUCUUUAUAAGGGUGCUGCUCCCAUGGGGUUCUCUACUGAAAACACAGUUUACUGUGAGUCUGAGCAGGUCCACUGCCAUCCAUCCUCUCUUGUCAUCCUGGGGACAUAGUAGGAGGAGGUUCCCAUCCUCAGGGGCUUGAGAGCGCCCCCUGUCUCUGACAGUCUGCCACUGCUACUGCUCUGGGUGGUUUUGGUCCAAGCUCUCACCUACCUUUGUAGGACACUUGGGGAUUGGAUCUCUCUUACUUUCUGAAAUGCACAUGGCAGUGCUUUGCGCAUGAUAUUCAAUUCAUAUUUCUGGCCUGAAGCUACUGAGUAGGUGUUUUUUCAGGCAGAAGGAUUUAUUUCCUCAUCUGUGAGAUACCUAAGGGAUAGCAUUAUUGAAUUCUGGUAAUUAAGAGAAUGGAGCCCUUGUUUUCAACUGAUGAUAGUCCUUGCACAAUUUCUUAAACAGUUGCAAUUCUACUUUAUAGAGAAUGUUAAUUGUUUAAAUAAUGAAGAAAAUGGAGAUAAAAUAUUGAGAUUUCCUGGUAAUAUUAAUGGUCAAAUAAUAUUCUAUC